Molecule: RNA transcript, 2827 nt
Organism: Corythoichthys intestinalis (scribbled pipefish)
Lineage: Eukaryota; Metazoa; Chordata; Actinopteri; Syngnathiformes; Syngnathidae
Gene: avpr2aa
Gene name: arginine vasopressin receptor 2a, duplicate a
Exons: 6
Source: RefSeq, a predicted model, not a curated record
GGCAGAGCACAUUGCCAGAGCAUGAAGAAGUGACGCACAAGUCGCCGCUGAUGCUGGGACGCACAUGGCUCCCACCGGGGAUUAGGAGCAUUUGUGAACUCUGUGAGCAAGGAGACAUCAGAAGAGGGGCUUCUGUUAAAAAAAAAAAAAAAAAAAAGGACCUAAAAAUGCAGUGAUAUUUAUUCCUAUUUAUUUUGCAUUCAACCUGAGUCAUAGCCUGGAUUGAUCAAUUUGUAAUUUCUUUCUUCUGACAACUCUCACACAGUUGCACAGCCAAAGUGGAUUAUACGAAUGGAAAGCAUCAGUGUGGAAACGGACUGGGAUGCUUUGGCCCUCUCCUCUCUGGUCGUGACGGGAAACAGCAACCACUCUUCCUCAUCUUUGUUUGACCUCAACACUCUCAACGGCUCCCACAGUGGAGGAUCCUUCUUUGGGAUCUUUCCGGAGAAUGCCUCAAACACCACCCCUUACCCAUUGCCCCAGCCAAGGGUACGCGACCAAGGCCUGGCCCAGGCAGAGAUCGCUGUUCUAGGGGUGGUGCUGGCUCUAACCACGCUGGGAAAUAGCUUCGUCCUGUGGGUAUUGCUCCGUAGAAGGAAGCACAAUGCACCAAUGCACGUGUUCAUGGUCAACUUGUGUGUGGCUGACCUGGUGGUGGCCUUCUUUCAGGUUCUUCCCCAACUCAUUUGGGACAUCACUGACAAGUUUCAGGGACCCGAUUUCCUGUGCCGUUCCAUUAAGUACUUGCAGAUUGUGGGCAUGUUUGCUUCCUCCUACAUGAUAGUUGCCAUGACAGUGGACCGGCACCAUGCCAUCUGCUGCCCGUUGCAGGCUUACCGUAGCGGGGCGGUUUCCCGCUGGAACACCCCGGUCAUGGUGGCUUGGGGAUUGGCGCUAGUUCUCAGCCUACCGCAGGUGUUCAUCUUCUCACGAUCAGAAGUGAGUCCUGGUGAGUUUGAGUGCUGGGGUCACUUUGCAGAGGUGUGGGGGCUCAAGGCGUACAUCACCUGGAUGACAGUGGCUGUAUUUCUCCUGCCUGCCCUCAUCAUCACCAUCUGUCAGAUAAGAAUCUUCCGGGAGAUCCACAAUAACAUCUACCUGAAGUCAGAGAGGAUGGUGAUGGCUGAGCUAAAGAGGAAUGAAAUCCUCUUUCACUUUCACAGCUUUAAGAAGGAAGAGGAUCGGGCCAGAGAGAGGGGUCGAAGGUCAUCCAGUGGCAGCGCUCGGGCAGGGCUGCACUUGAAGCCCAUCAACGACAAACCUCACAUAAACACCUAUAAUAAAAUUCAAAUGACAGAUACAGCAGCUUCAACCGCAGUUUCUGCGGAUGUGCAGCAAGUGAAUGGUCCUGACUGUCAGGAGUCCUGCACAUCCUGCCAGGUGACCUCAGGUUCACCUCGUUGCUCCCUCGAUUACGCCCCCCCUCACCCCACAGUGGCGCCACCGCCAAGCAUCACCAAAGCAAUGUCCAAAACGGUCCGAAUGACUCUGGUCAUUGUGCUGGUCUACACUGUAUGCUGGUCCCCUUUUUUCAUUGUCCAGCUGUGGGCCGCCUGGGACCCCAACCCUCCCAAUCAAGGUCAGUAUCACACACAUUUCAAGGGCUAUGUAGAUUUGCUUACGUUCUUCGAUAUGGCUUGAUUUGAAAUGGUCUACAACUGAUGUUGUUGAUAUUUUGAAAUCAUUUGGCAAUUGAUAAUUGAAUGUGCUCCUUAGCGUAAAGAUAAUGUGCAUGAUUUAUAGCUAUUGUGCUGACUUUGUCGUGGGAUCUUAAGCUAAAGUCAAACCACAGAAGUCAGUAAAUAACCUGUUUGUAUUCCUUACGUAUUUUGCAACCUGACAAGAUGUUGACAUUUUGUCAACAAUGAUCUACGGUAGGAGCAUGUACACAGUCAAAUUUAUAGUUGGACACAUAGAGGGCAUUGUGUUCUCAUGCACAGCUCACCUAUAUUUUACAAGUGACCUUUGCCUUAAACGAGAAAAUGUAAUCUUAAUGAAUCUAACACAAAAAACUACACAUAGGGCUGAUUUUUAUGGCAAUGUAAUCUCAAACCAGUUUUUCCGUCAUUUGUUGUCUCCAAGCUUGUUUGGGUUCUGACGUAAUACUUAUUAUUAGUUCCAAAAUGCAACAGGAUGUUGCCCAUCUGGAAAGUUUACAAUCCUAUAGGGAAAAGUGAAUUACAAUGCUGAAAGGUUUUCAGUACGAGUUGAACUGACAGGUCAAUGAGUCUAGAGUACUUUAGAGCAGGGGUCUCCAAACCUGUCCUUAUGGGCGGCUGUGGGUCCUGGUUUUUGUUCCAAGUGAUCCAGUACAGAAAGUUGAAACAAUGGGGUUCACCUGACUGGCACCUGACUGCAAUCAACUGAUUAUACUUCUAAAACAUCAGAUUGGUGAACAGGGGUUGUCUUGCUUGGUUUGAAUGAAAUCCUGCACCCACUACAGCCCUAGUGCAGAGUCCGGAUUUAGUGAACCCUGGCCUAGAGUCCCUUAGUCUCCCUGAGUAAAUGCAUUCAUCAAAUCAAUGAAUGGAUGUGCCAGAAUUUUCUCCAGUUAAAUGUGGAGAAGACAGAGGUGAUCAUUUUUGGGCCAAAAAAGGAAAGGUCAAAGAUAAGGAGGCAACUUAGCUCAAUGUCACUUACAGCUACAAAUCAAGUCAGAAACCUUGGCGUAAUUAUUGACUCAGACCUAAAAUUUGAUAGCCAUCUAAAGUCCGUCACUAAAUCCGCUUAUUACCACCUAAAAAAUAAAACCCGAAUUAAGGGGCUUCUGAUUCAACAAGAAAUGGAAAAACUUAUGCAUGAAUUCAUUUUCAGCUGAUUGGACUAU